Molecule: ribosomal RNA, 2905 nt
Filed under: Clostridium perfringens
Lineage: Bacteria; Bacillati; Bacillota; Clostridia; Eubacteriales; Clostridiaceae
Description: bacterial LSU rRNA
Rfam family: Bacterial large subunit ribosomal RNA
Source: RNAcentral
UCAAGCUACAAAGGGCGCAUGGUGAAUGCCUUGGCAUCAGGAGCCGAUGAAGGACGUGAUAAGCUGCGAUAAGCUUCGGGUAGGCGCACAUAGCCUGAGAUCCGAAGAUCUCCGAAUGAGGAAACUCACAUGGGAAACCCCAUGUAUCAUUAAGUGAAUACAUAGCUUAAUGAAGGUAACCCAGGGAACUGAAACAUCUAAGUACCUGGAGGAAGAGAAAGAAAAAUCGAUUUUCUUAGUAGCGGCGAGCGAAAGGGAAAGAGCCCAAACCGGAAACUUGUUUCCGGGGUUGUGGACAUAACAUAAAAGUGGAGGCUAUUGUAACUGAAGAGAACUGGAAAGUUCCACCGUAGAAGGUAAUAGUCCUGUAAGUGAAACGAGAAGACCACGAGUUAUGAUCCAGAGUACCACGAGACACGUGAAACCUUGUGGGAAGCAGGGAGGACCACCUCCCAAGGCUAAAUACUACCUGAUGACCGAUAGUGAAGCAGUACCGUGAGGGAAAGGUGAAAAGAACCCCGGGAGGGGAGUGAAAUAGAACCUGAAACCGUGUGCCUACAACCGCUCAGAGCCCCUUAUGAGGGUGAUGAGGUGCUUUUUGUAGAACGAGCCAACGAGUUACGGUAUGUAGCAAGGUUAAGUACUUAAGGUACGGAGCCGAAGGGAAACCGAGUCUGAAUAGGGCGACUAGUUGCAUGCCGUAGACCCGAAACCGGGUGACCUAUCCAUGGCCAGGUUGAAGCGAGGGUAAAACCUCGUGGAGGACCGAACCACGUUGCUGUUGAAAAAGCAUGGGAUGAGCUGUGGAUAGCGGAGAAAUUCCAAUCGAACCCGGAGAUAGCUGGUUCUCUCCGAAAUAGCUUUAGGGCUAGCGUCGAGUAUGAGUAGUGGAGGUAGAGCACUGAAUGGGCUAGGGGGCAUAGCGCUUACCGAACCUUAUCAAACUCCGAAUGCCACAUACUUUGAGCUCGGCAGUCAGACUACGAAUGAUAAGAUCCGUGGUCAAAAGGGAAACAGCCCAGAUCGUCAGCUAAGGUCCCAAAGUGUAAGUUAAGUGGGAAAGGAUGUGAGAUUUCUAAGACAACUAGGAUGUUGGCUUAGAAGCAGCCAUUCAUUAAAAGAGUGCGUAAUAGCUCACUAGUCGAGAGAUCUUGCGCCGAAAAUGUAACGGGGCUAAACUUACCACCGAAGCUACGGGCUUGAACUUAGUUCAAGCGGUAGGAGAGCGUCGUAACCGGGCUGAAGUCGUACCGUAAGGAGCGGUGGACUGGUUACGAGUGAGAAUGUUGGCAUCAGUAGCGAGAUGUGGGUGAGAAUCCCACAGGGCCGAAAACCUAAGGUUUCCUCAGGAAGGUUCGUCCGCUGAGGGUUAGUCGGGACCUAAGCCGAGGCCGAAAGGCGUAGGUGAUGGACAACUGGUUGAUAUUCCAGUACCACUACCAUCGUUAUUAUCGAUGGCGUGACGCAGGAGGAUAGUGUGUGCUAGCUAUUGGAUGCUAGUCUAAGCGUUUAGGCAGUGAGAGUAGGCAAAUCCGCUCUCAUAAUGCUGAGGCGUGAUGGGGAAGGUUCUACGGAACCGAAGUACAUGAUUCCACGCUGCCAAGAAAAGCGUCUAGAGAGAGAAGUAGUGCCCGUACCGCAAACCGACACAGGUAGGUGAGGGAGAGAAUCCUAAGGCCGGCGGAAGAAUUACAGUUAAGGAACUCGGCAAAUUGACCCCGUAAGUUCGCGAGAAGGGGUGCCUACGAGAGUAGGCCGCAGAGAAUAGGCCCAAGCAACUGUUUAGCAAAAACACAGGUCUCUGCUAAAGCGUAAGCUGAUGUAUAGGGGCUGACGCCUGCCCGGUGCUGGAAGGUUAAGGGGAACACUUAGCGCAAGCGAAGGUGUGAACUUAAGCCCCAGUAAACGGCGGCCGUAACUAUAACGGUCCUAAGGUAGCGAAAUUCCUUGUCAGGUAAGUUCUGACCCGCACGAAUGGCGUAAUGACUUGGGCACUGUCUCAACUGUAAAUCCGGCGAAGUUGUAGUGCGAGUGAAGAUGCUCGCUACCCGCGAUUGGACGGAAAGACCCCGUAGAGCUUUACUGUAGCUUAGCAUUGAGUUUUGGUAUUGUCUGUACAGGAUAGGUGGGAGACUAGGAAACCAGGGCGUCAGCCUUGGUGGAGUCAACCUUGGGAUACCACCCUGACAGUACUGAAAUUCUAACUGGCGGCCAUGAAUCUGGUCACAGGACAUUGUUAGGUGGGCAGUUUGACUGGGGCGGUCGCCUCCUAAAAAGUAACGGAGGCGCCCAAAGGUUCCCUCAGAACGGUCGGAAAUCGUUCGAAGAGUGCAAAGGCAGAAGGGAGCCUGACUGCGACACCCACAAGUGGAGCAGGGACGAAAGUCGGGCUUAGUGAUCCGGUGGUACCUCGUGGGAGGGCCAUCGCUCAACGGAUAAAAGCUACCUCGGGGAUAACAGGCUGAUCUCCCCCAAGAGUCCACAUCGACGGGGAGGUUUGGCACCUCGAUGUCGGCUCGUCGCAUCCUGGGGCUGAAGUAGGUCCCAAGGGUUGGGCUGUUCGCCCAUUAAAGCGGCACGCGAGCUGGGUUCAGAACGUCGUGAGACAGUUCGGUCCCUAUCCGUCGCGGGCGUAGGAAAUUUGAGAGGAGCUGUCCUUAGUACGAGAGGACCGGGAUGGACUGACCUCUGGUGUACCAGUUGUUCCGCCAGGAGCACAGCUGGGUAGCUAAGUCGGGAAUGGAUAAACGCUGAAAGCAUCUAAGCGUGAAGCCAACCUCAAGAUGAGAUUUCCCAUAGCGUAAGCUAGUAAGAUCCCUUGAAGAACACAAGGUUGAUAGGUCGGGGGUGUAAGCAUGGUAACAUGUUCAGCUGACCGAUACUAAUAGAUCGAGGGCUUGACCAA